GACGAACGCUGGCGGCGUGCUUAACACAUGCAAGUCGAACGAAGUGGCGAACGGGUGAGUAAUACGUGGUUAACCUGCCCUCCUUUUUGGGAUAAGCCUUGGUAACGGGGUCUAAUACCGAAUAAUGGGGGAUGGGUUCGCGGCCUAUCAGCUUGUUGUUGGGGAGAUGGGGUACCAAGGCGGUGCCGGGUAGCCGGCCUGAGCGGGUAACCGGGGACGUUGGGACGGGGAUGCGGCCCAGGCGCCUACGGGGGGGAGCAGUGGGGGAUAUUGCACAAUGGGCGAAAGCCUGAUGCCGCGACGCCGCGUAGGGUAUGAAGGCUUUCGGGUUGUAAACCUCUUUCGCAAUCGAACCGGUAGGUGAAGAAGAAGCGCCGGCUAACUACGUGCCAGCAGCCGCGGUAAUAC
This 408-nucleotide ribosomal RNA is filed under the name uncultured bacterium. RNAcentral's name for it is "partial 16S ribosomal RNA". It matches the Rfam family "Bacterial small subunit ribosomal RNA", at positions 28 to 526 of the family's 1533-position model. The record is from RNAcentral.